This 540-nucleotide ribosomal RNA is filed under the name Bifidobacterium bifidum. Its description in RNAcentral is "bacterial SSU rRNA". It matches the Rfam family "Bacterial small subunit ribosomal RNA", at positions 146 to 698 of the family's 1533-position model. The record is from RNAcentral. Lineage: Bacteria; Bacillati; Actinomycetota; Actinomycetes; Bifidobacteriales; Bifidobacteriaceae.
UCUCCUGGAAACGGGUGGUAAUGCCGGAUGUUCCACAUGAUCGCAUGUGAUUGUGGGAAAGAUUCUAUCGGCGUGGGAUGGGGUCGCGUCCUAUCAGCUUGUUGGUGAGGUAACGGCUCACCAAGGCUUCGACGGGUAGCCGGCCUGAGAGGGCGACCGGCCACAUUGGGACUGAGAUACGGCCCAGACUCCUACGGGAGGCAGCAGUGGGGAAUAUUGCACAAUGGGCGCAAGCCUGAUGCAGCGACGCCGCGUGAGGGAUGGAGGCCUUCGGGUUGUAAACCUCUUUUGUUUGGGAGCAAGCCUUCGGGUGAGUGUACCUUUCGAAUAAGCGCCGGCUAACUACGUGCCAGCAGCCGCGGUAAUACGUAGGGCGCAAGCGUUAUCCGGAUUUAUUGGGCGUAAAGGGCUCGUAGGCGGCUCGUCGCGUCCGGUGUGAAAGUCCAUCGCUUAACGGUGGAUCUGCGCCGGGUACGGGCGGGCUGGAGUGCGGUAGGGGAGACUGGAAUUCCCGGUGUAACGGUGGAAUGUGUAGAUAUC